Molecule: ribosomal RNA, 223 nt
Filed under: uncultured bacterium
Lineage: Bacteria
Description: partial 16S ribosomal RNA
Rfam family: Bacterial small subunit ribosomal RNA
Source: RNAcentral
UACGUAGGGCGCAAGCGUUGUCCGGAAUUAUUGGGCGUAAAGAGCUCGUAGGCGGUUUGUCGCGUCUGCUGUGAAAACCUAAGGCUCAACCUUGGGCUUGCAGUGGGUACGGGCAGACUAGAGUGCGGUAGGGGUGACUGGAAUUCCUGGUGUAGCGGUGGAAUGCGCAGAUAUCAGGAGGAACACCGAUGGCGAAGGCAGGUCACUGGGCCGCAAACUGACG